Cavia aperea (Brazilian guinea pig) is the source of this 136-nucleotide small nucleolar RNA. NCBI's taxonomy places the organism in Eukaryota, Metazoa, Chordata, Mammalia, Rodentia, Caviidae. The record is from Ensembl.
UUGCACAGUGAACACCCAAGUGUGCUUUGUAGUUCCCUGGCUUUGACUCUGUGCUAGAGUAAUGUCCUGUUCUUUCCCUCUGCAUUGAAAGGACUAUUUUUUUCCUUUUAAAUGUAUUCAGAAAGGCAGCACAUAC